This is a long non-coding RNA of Esox lucius (northern pike), 486 nucleotides long. RefSeq lists it as uncharacterized. Lineage: Eukaryota; Metazoa; Chordata; Actinopteri; Esociformes; Esocidae. The record is from RefSeq and is a predicted model, not a curated record. The transcript has 3 exons.
AUGAAAGCAGCCCCCCAUGAAGAGAAUCCACGUCGCCUGUGACUGAGUCGGUCUCCAUAAUAAAAUCACCUUUCCAAUAACUUCCAGCGGUCUUAUUCCCAUAUCCUCCCUGCCCAGCGAUCAAACAGAGGUGGAGUGCUGCUUCAACAGGACCACGCGCUGAAAAAGUCCACAACGUCCACCUCCGGAGCCGGAUACCCUAAGCUGUCUCCAACAAAAUAUCGCAAGAUUCUGAGGAUUCAGGAGAGAGCAAAGGAUCCCAGAGCGAGUCGUUUACGCAUGGUUCAAAGGGGCUGUGGCUGUGCCCAUAGCUCAAUGGGUCUGAUGUGUCAGAUUCCACUUGGAUAAGUGUAAGAGCAAUUCCUUAUAAGAUACGAUCAAUUCCUUGGACGAACCUUUCUUAGUAAUAAUAAUGUGCCUUUUUUCCGGUACAUAAUCAACCUUUGAACUGAAGACUCUGCAAAUUGCACAUAAGUGAAAAUUGCA